This 497-nucleotide ribosomal RNA is filed under the name uncultured bacterium. RNAcentral's name for it is "partial 16S ribosomal RNA". It matches the Rfam family "Bacterial small subunit ribosomal RNA", at positions 28 to 507 of the family's 1533-position model. The record is from RNAcentral.
GAUGAACGCUGGCGGCGUGCCUAAUACAUGCAAGUCGAGCGAACGGACGAGAAGCUUGCUUCUCUGAUGUUAGCGGCGGACGGGUGAGUAACACGUGGAUAACCUACCUAUAAGACUGGGAUAACUUCGGGAAACCGGAGCUAAUACCGGAUGAUAUUUUGAACCGCAUGGUUCAAAAGUGAAAGACGGUCUUGCUGUCACUUAUAGAUGGAUCCGCGCUGCAUUAGCUAGUUGGUAAGGUAACGGCUUACCAAGGCAACGAUGCAUAGCCGACCUGAGAGGGUGAUCGGCCACACUGGAACGUAGACACGGUCCAGACUCCUACGGGAGGCAGCAGUAGGGAAUCUUCCGCAAUGGGCGAAAGCCUGACGGAGCAACGCCGCGUGAGUGAUGAAGGUCUUCGGAUCGUAAAACUCUGUUAUUAGGGAAGAACAUAUGUGUAAGUAACUGUGCACAUCUUGACGGUACCUAAUCAGAAAGCCACGGCUAACUACGUG